RNAcentral lists this ribosomal RNA (253 nucleotides) under uncultured bacterium. RNAcentral's name for it is "partial 16S ribosomal RNA". It matches the Rfam family "Bacterial small subunit ribosomal RNA", at positions 524 to 776 of the family's 1533-position model. The record is from RNAcentral. RNAcentral also lists the same sequence under 1 other name.
UACAGAGGUCUCAAGCGUUGUUCGGAUUCAUUGGGCGUAAAGGGUGCGUAGGUGGCGGGGUAAGUCUGGUGUGAAAUCUCGGGGCUCAACCUCGAAACUGCACUGGAUACUGCUUUGCUAGAGUAUUGGAGAGGAGAUUGGAAUUUACGGUGUAGCAGUGAAAUGCGUAGAUAUCGUAAGGAAGACCAGUGGCGAAGGCGAAUCUCUGGACAAUUACUGACACUGAGGCACGAAGGCCAGGGGAGCAAACGGG